Passer domesticus (house sparrow) is the source of this 22225-nucleotide long non-coding RNA. RefSeq lists it as uncharacterized. The transcript has 10 exons. The record is from RefSeq and is a predicted model, not a curated record. NCBI's taxonomy places the organism in Eukaryota, Metazoa, Chordata, Aves, Passeriformes, Passeridae.
CACCCAAACAGGGCAGACAAAUGAGGGACUGAUGGUACAGCGUGAGUCAAAGGUCCUUCAGGCUGACCCAGUUACAGCUUUACCUCUGACCCCACAGCAAGGGGCAGCAGCAGUGCUGCACCUUCUGCCAGUGCUGUGGCAGUACUCGUGGGCAUGAAAUCUCUGCAGCAAGCAUUACUGCACCCGUGCUGGACAGAGCUGUGCCUCUGUCAGCACAGCAAGAGAAACCCAGCCAAGCUCUGAAGAGGGAGGCUGCUCCCACCUGGACAAGAGGCUUCAGAGCAGCACAGUCUGGUGGGCAAGGCUGGGGUGGGCAUGCCAGGCUGCAGCCUGCCCGUGCCAUGCCGGGCUGCCCCUCUCUCGGGCACGGUUGGAGCUCAAGCUGCAGCCGUGCUGCUGGGCCGCAGAGCCUGGCGCGGCCGGCCAGGGAGGGCGCUGGCACCGGCCUUCGCGCCUCAGGAAGAGAAUCUAGGUCACAGAUCUCUCUGAGAACAAGCACGUCUGAGGCUGCCAAGGGAAACAAACUGGCAGCAGAAAGGGGAGCAAACUGGCUUGAAAAGCAACAGGAGAAUGGGGAGAAGUAACUCAGUGAUUGAAACAAGGAUACUCUGAGAAAGCUUUGUAGGUGACUGCCAAUUGUCCAAAAGCCGAGUGGCUCACUACUGACUGCAACUGGAGGAAGAAAAGGCAUAUGUGUUUGGUUGUAAAUACUCUUUGUACUAUCACAACAGUAGUGCAUGUGGGAAUCCUUGUCUGCCCCAGAAGUCUUAAGAAAUUUUGGAACCUCUGCCACGAAAGAUAAAUAAUCCCAAGAAAGACAUUUGUUUCUCUAGUAUGAUCCUGUUCAGUCUCCUCAAGGACUGUAGCACAACGAUUGACUCUCAAGGCCAAAGCCAAGCAACAAAGUGAACUUUAACUUUUGGCUUUGAAGAACAGGCAUGUGUGAAAAGAAAAAAACUGUGGAAACAUUUCUUGAAGAUGCUGGUAUCAUACCUAAGCUGGUCCAUGCACUUUCACCUAAGAACUCCUGCUGGAAACCAGCAACUCUAGCAAAGGAAUGUCUCUCCUUAAUGCCUAUAUCAGCUUUGUGUGGUGACAGAUGAGAAAAAACCCACUGUAAAACCCAAGACUUGUAUGAACAGUUCCAGUUAACAAAUUGUAUUAGCUGUUCAACUAAAGACAGAAAAAAUACUACAGAAAAAAAACCCCAAACAUCAGUAUUGUUAUUUUAAAGGAAAUCAAAAUUAUUAUAUUAGUUUUCCCAGCCUGAGAAAAAGCAAAAGCAAACAAACCCAAAGCAAUUUAUUUCAUAUGACAAAAAAGUAUGACAGGAAAAAGUACUUAGAUAAAUCAACAGGAAUAAUAGCAACACCCAAAGACAUAAAAAUGGGUUUCUCAUUGUAUAGGAGACAAAAUGCUUCAUAGACCACAGUGAAGUGAAGGUCAUCUAUUAAAAAACCUCAGACAAUAUGAACAUUUUACAAGUUGUACCAAGCAGGAACAGGAAGAUACACAAUGAAAUGAAAUACCAUAAAAUAGCUUCAUCAGCUAAACUUCAAAUGAAACUGGAAAUGUCAGAAUGAAUAAAGAUAAUCCACUUUAGUUGCUUGUUGAAUAAUUUGACCUGAGAGAAGGACCUGACAGCAGAUGAACUGCCUUUCCCAGACGUGGACAGCUGGGCUGUCAAAUAUAACUCAUAUUUCUGAGGUGUCAUGUGAACAAAUGACUAAAUUCAGGCAUGGCAAAACCACCAAUGAAUUAUUUUCAUUUUAAUGCACUUUGUAGAUUAAAUUGCAAACCAGAUUGGUAACUGAAUUUUAUAAAUGGUCCUGUGACCAUAUUUUGUGUGAUGUGAGGUGGCCAUCUGUAGGGUACAAGCAUCUCAUGAAGGUUCUCCUGCUGGCCCUGAGGUUAUGUUCAAGUCAGGCUGAACAGUGUUGGAGCCAGGUUUUCCUCAGAGGUGCACAGUGGUAGGAGCAAAGGACCUUGUUUCUUCCCAGGAAACGAUGUUCAGCAGAACAGAAUAACAUAUUUGGCCAGACCUGAGGGGAUUUUUAUGAGUUCCAUGUGAGAUGCUGAAGCCUUAACUUAAUUGGCCUUACAUUCCUCAGGAAUAUAUACACCCCGUAUCCACAUCCACUCAGUCUGCUCUCCUUUUCAACCUUGUUACCGUAACUAUUGAUUUCUCUUGCUGUAGUCCAGCCUGAAGCUCAUGUAAAUCAAGUCAGUUGCUACAAUCUGGGCUGUGUCAGGAAUGCAAAAUUCACAGCCUUUCUUGUUUUUCUCCUUUUCCUCCUACUGCCAGUGAUGUUUUAAUUUUGACAUUCUGCAUGGAGAUCAGAAAUGUACCCAAAGCAGUUUCAUGUCCCACAAAUUUCUUGUCUGUGGAACUUAAGAAAGUGUCUUUUUAUAACAUCAGUAUCAUGCAUAUCCCACACGGCAAGCCCUGCGGGGUUCUGAAAAUCAAAUUUUUUAGUGCACUUUGAAAAAAAAAAUGUUUUGGGGAGACGAAUAUUCUCCAUUGGCCUGAUUAAUUUUCACCGGGAAAAAAAAUGCAAGCCCGCAUGCAGCUAUUAUCAAAUCUCCUGGUGGAAUGGAUCCUGGGUGAAACACAUCCUAGCCCUCGGCUGGAUGUUAGCCCUCGGCACCUGAGCAGUUUGCACUUAAAUUCCUGCUGGGGCCUCUGCUCGGAGGGUCCCGUUGUCCCCCGGCUGCACGCCCGGUGCCCUCCAGGCUCCGUGCCCUCUCCCGGGAUGCAGGAGAGCGGAGCGAGCACUGGGAGCCCUGCAGGAUGGGCCAGGGCUGCCGGCGCCGCUCCUGCCCCCGGGAAAGAGGAGCAGCAUCCGUGUUUCUUUCCCCAGCCCUCCCGAUGCUGCUCUGCUAGUGUGUUAGUGUUUGCAGGAACCACCACGACUCCAAGCGUGAUGAGGUAGGGGAUGAGCAGAGGUGUGGGUAAAUGGGGAGGCUCGCUGCUGGUGGCGCUUACCAUGAUCCAUCCUGGACUGGUUUGGUCAAACUCUGGUUGGACUUGUGAACUGGAGGGCCUGGCAGGGUGAGAUGGAGGAUGUGGGUCAAGGCACUCACAGGUCCGGACUGCAAGCUAUCCCUUUCCUCACCCUGUCCCCUGCUGGGCAUCACUCUGUGAUGUCCACACCUAAACCCUUACUCUUUUGCCACAGGGGCAAAGGCAGUGCUGUCUCAGGCCUGGGGAAAGGUGAGGGGCUGUCCAGCAGCUAUGAGCAGUGGGUGCCAUCUCUGGAUGUGGGGCACUGAACACCAUGCGUAUUGCAGUAGUGGCCAGUGGUUAUCUGCUGUAGCUGAAGGACAAGGCAAAUGCUGCAGGCAGGACAAGCAUGUUCCUCUCCUCAUCCUCCCUCAGCCAGCAGUCCUGACAUGUGGACCAUUAUCAAAAUGCCUGUUCUGUGACACUAAAAAAAAGCCAAUGACCAGUGUAAAAGAAGUUUAUUGGCGGAAAGGUAUACACGAUUGUGCUACAGAGCUGGAGAGAUGUGCUGUGAAAGGAAACAGAGAGUCAGACGCUAGCUCAAUCAACGUCACAGAGUCCCACUGUGAGUCCUAGGUCCCACUGUGAUGCAAUGGCUCUUUCCAGGACUUCAUGACAGAAGAAAAUAGGGUGCUUGACCACUUGUUCAACAUUUAUGGUGCUCCUGAAGGUGAAAAUCCAAAAGGAAAUAACCUCAGUGAGAACCAAUAGUUGCAGGUUACAAAACACAUGCAUUUUUUUCAAGAUACAGGGUAGUCAGUUCUUUCUGUGUGAAACAGACAAAAGAAGGACCAAGGUCUCGCAGCAAGCUGUGCCUGGACUCCUGAGAAACUGCUCAUGAGACAACAGCCACCAGAACUGCUGUGCUGAGCAGGAUGCAGACCUGACCUCCUCUACAGCCAGGCAGCAUUAUACCCCUGACUAGUUAAUACACUGCCUCCAUGAUUCAUGUCACCUCGUGUUCUCCUCAGAUAAUGUAUUUCCUGUCCCAGAAAAAGUUUCUCUUAGUCCAUGUGAAAAACCCUGCUGGGGCCUGGGAAGCAUAGACUUCAGAGGGAAGACUUUCAAGGACGGCCAUAGCAACGUGGUCCCCACUUGGAUUCCACCCGUGUCAUGGGACAGGAUCUGGCCAGUCUCAGCUCUCUGAGAAGCCUCAUGGAGACUUCAUUUCUUCAAGAAUGUCAAUUUCUGCAACAACCUCUUUGCAAGGUGAUGAAUAUUGAGCAACAGCAUACUCUUCUGGAGAGGAAGAAUAGAAACGUUCUUGUUACCCUGGAGAACACUUGUUGUGCCUUUCCCUGGAGGUGGAUAUAACCUAUGCAUGCUUAAACUGGAUAUCCUUGAAAUAUCCUUUAUUCUGGUGCAUGUAUUUUCAUAACUUUCUAGUCAUGCCUAUUGAUUGCAUUGGGCAUGAGACCAAGGUGAAUAAAGUGAAAUGAGUCUCUCCCCUGGCCCUAGAUUCAGGUGCUGAUGGAGUCCAGAGGGGUGCUGGUUGCAGCAGGGCUGUACAUGCUCUCCCUUAAGGCACUGUUUCUGCUGUCCCUGCCCCUCCCCCAGACUUCACACUGGUUAAAAUCAAAAAGAUACCUGUUUCAUAGUAGUCAUAGAUCUGCACUGGUGCUGGCUUGGGGUGGGUCACUACAAAGUCCUGCUCAACUGAGAAAGUGAUUUCUUUACUUUUCUUCUGUGAGAUCUGGAAUGGAAGGUCAGAGACCACAUCAGUCUUUUUAUUUGUACAUCACCAUCUAGAGGGACAAGGGUGGUAACUCACAGGUUGCAUAUUCCAAAUCCCACUGAUGCCACACCUACAGAUAUGGGACAGCCAUUAUCCAAACAUGUGGAGAGUCCAAAGUGAAACUGAACUGAAAAGUUAAUAGAUUUUCUGUCCUGCUCAUAUCACUGGAUUCUGUAAUUAUUACAUAUCCUGUUGCCAGAGGUGGGAAAAUUGUCCAAAGGACUGAGUUUAAUUUUCCAGGAUCUCCCAGUGGUCAGGAUGAUAAAGUCCAGUAUUUCAGUCCCUCCCAUUUCAGACAUGGACAUUAUGUGCCACCAAGAAACUGUGAAUCAAUUUACAGUGUCCAUCACUGGAGUAUUAGCUUCUAUUAGUUUUGCAGUGCCCUGAGCAAAUUGUUUACUAAGUAAAUUCUGAUUCAGGAAUCAGAUUACAAGUAAAAUUUUGCAAUGAUCUAAUGUAAGAGAAACAAAGAAAAUCUUUCCAGGGGAGAAUGAAAGCAGUGUUUCCUGUCGUGUUGGAAAGACCGAGGUUUAUAAGAAGCCUAGCAAAGAGGCAUGCAUGCACACAAUAGAACCUCUUUUCUGAUGUUUGUCUGCAUUUUACUGAAAGGAGAAAGAAUUUUGAUUAAUUUCAAUGUGAUUUUUUAAAAAACUUUUUUUAUUUUUUUAUUUGCUGGUAGGACAGGUGUCAGUUUGAAGCUGUUUGGAAGGUUGGGAAAUUACAAGCAGUUUGGGAAGUAAGCAGCUUAGUGAUAGAAAAUUGUUGAGGAAGAGAACAUGAUAAAUGCACCACAUAGGGUAUAUCUAUAUUGUGGUUAUACCUAUUGCAUGCUGUUUCCAUCCUUUGUGAAAAUCAAAUAGACAGUGACCAGAACUUACAUUUUGCAGAUAAAGGAGGACAUGAUUUUUCUUGCUCUCUACUUGCAUCACUGUUCGACUGUCAAUGAGCUUUGAAACAAGAAAAUGGAGAUAAAUAUAUUUGUAAAACGUUACGAAACAAGUGCUGCCUCAGACCCUACUGCUGCAUGUUGGUGGUAUUCAUUCUUCUCCUAGUCAAGUUUCAAGAGCUGGCAGUUGUCUUUUGUAGUCCAAAUAUUGCUGAAAAGAUUGAAAGGAUGGACAAAAACCUACCACUUGACUCAGUUGGGUGUAUGAGCUCUUUCCAAAUGCACAAGUCACUGCGAUUUACUUGGGGGAUUCUGCCAGACUCUGGUAUGAUCUGAGAUGUUUCCCACCCUUUCCCUACCUGGGCAGAGCCAGCUCCCAGUUGCAGCUGCCAGCUGCUCAGGCUUGAGCUGAAACCCUUCCUAGUUUUAAAUAUAGGAGGUUCUGUGUGUUUGAAGCUCCCUGGAGGGCAUUCCCUCCACCCAGUAAUGAACAGUGCAGCCAUGCAAACACCUCACAGGGUCUGUGGCUGAAUGCUUCUUAACCAUGCCUCUGGUAAUUUCGGCUUGCUCCUCUAGGUUUACCUUAUCCAGGGAAGACUUAACAGGAACAAAGCCAGAGAGCAUCUUCACAUCAAUAAUGAUCAUGUUGGAGCUGUUGCGUUUCCCUGUGUAACUGAAACAACAGAGGGCCCUGUCAGUGGUCUUUGGGGACACUGUGUCUUACAGGCUGAUACCAUCAGCAUAUUGAUCAGCCUGUGGCUCUUGACUUCAUAAGCUGAAGUGAAAACACACAGCAAGGUUUUCUGUGUGCAGCUGGUUUGCUGGUGGCACAUUACCUGCUUAUGAGGACAAUAUCAAAUUUUGCUGGUCUGUCCUGUGGGCAGGAAGCAUUUGAUGUCUGUACUGAAAGCAGAAAUCCAGAGGACCCCUCUGGAAGGUGAAUGUUGUAUCUCAGUGCUGUCUGGAAGAGGAAAAAACCCUUUUGUUCAAGAAUGCCAAAGAUUUUCUUUGCAUUCAAAAAAAAAAACAGACUUAGUGAACUUUUCUGGAAAUGUUGCACUUGGUUUUAUGUGGAAGAUGCUUGCUUAUAUCAAUGAUGAACACAUAAGACUUCUACUUUUUAACAGUGAAGGUCCUUGUACCGAGAGUCACCUCUCAGAAAGAAAUCAGAUGUUGAUCAGAAAGGACUCUUUUUCCAUGCCAGAACUCCCCAGGAACCAGAAUGUGGGAUGGGACAAAGAGUGUUUAAGUGGUUUAGGAAAAUCAAGCAAUUAGGAAAAAUAAAGAGGAGUCACUAGAAAAUCAUCAAAACAAUGGCUAUCUUGUAUGCAAAAUGUGAGACACAAUGAAGAAGAAAGCAGACAUUUACUUGCAUAAAUACGCAUCCACUGCCAUUCACUGUCAGGCUGUAUUUCCCAGGGACCUCUGGAAGGGGAGUCUGUUGCACCAGGAGCCUGUUCUCAUUGUUGAUAAAAAAUACUUUCUCAAAAGGCUUUUUGGAAGUGAUCUUGACUCCAUUUUGUGAAGCAGAUUUGUGGGUGGCCUCACCAUAAGCAGCAAGUGCUUGAAGGGCAAUGACCGUGUCCUGAAGAAAAAGAAAAUAAAAGAAAAUUGGCUACACAGCAUGACCAGUGCAGAGGAGAUCAAAGUCACUGCUGCAAAACCCAUCACAGUUGCUUCUUCCUGAAUUUGUGUAUAAUUCUAGGGUUCCCAUACAAAAGGAGACAUUUCAUUCUCUCAUGUAUGUUUUAGGGUAGGAGAAUCUCUCUCCUGACACAAGGGUCUCAGAACAUAAAAUCUGAGAAGUGGAGUGUACUUCUAGAGUUUUUCAUAAUGGUGAAGCCUGUGUUUUCUGGGGAGCUACAGAACUCAUGGGUCAUCUGACAGAUGGGACUUGGUGUUUUCUAGGCUUAUCCUCGACACAAGUAUCUGUAUUUAUUGCUAGUCAAAUUACUCUUUCUAUAGUUAAGGAGAGGUUGGAGUGGGGAAGAAAGUAUUUUGGUCUCCUAAUGUAAAGGUUUGGUUUCUCUCAGAGACAGCAAUUAGAAAAGAGAAACAGGACUAGGUAGUCAGAGCCCUGCUGGAACCCUGAAACAGUGCCCUGAUUCCUAGGACUAGCUGUGGAGUGGAAGGCACUUUUGGCACCUGGGUAGAAGAGAAACCUCCAUAGGGAUUCUGCUGCCUGAUGAUCCACUGCACAAUCCCUGAGGCCUUUGUGAGAUCCUCUUUACUCCGGUUGGGUUUGCAGAGCAAUGCCAACAACACAUAACUGGUGAUCUCAACAUCAGCUGAAGGGGCAUGGUCAAGGAAGGAGGGAGAUUUGUCUGAUGGAGACCUCUCCUCCUGCUCCCAGUGCUGUGAGCCAUCUGAAUAAACAAAGAGAGGAACCAAUAUUGAUUACAGGUGUCACUGCUCUGUAUUGCCUUGGAGCCUCACUUCAUCCGGGUCUCUUCCUCAAAAGGACUCCCUGCACAUCAAUGAAUGCACUGCAGAUUAAUUCCACAGAUCGUUAAUGUAGUUUGGUUCAUGUGCCCACUCUCUCAAUCUUGUCAAGGUUAGACCAUCAGUAAGAUCUGCUCCAUCUUCCCAUUUCCCAAGUUCCCCAAGUGACUGAAACUCACCAACUUCCUUUGCUGAUUUCUGUAACUCUUCAAGGAAUGAUUCACAUUUUUCUGCCUUGCCAGCUAAGCAGAAAGCAUAGGCCAUGAGUGCCUGAGUGUAAACUUCCCUGAUACUCUUCUCAGAUGCAGUCUCCAGACAAAAAAUGGCAUUUCGGAUUACAGGGUACUUAAAAACAAAAAAGCAUGUGGGUUUAAUUCAGGACAGUAGUCUUCACCUGCUCAAAAAUUUAUUUCCUUUUCUUUAAACUUCACCUGCUCAAAAAUUUAUUUCCUUUAAACUUGUUCCUCAUCCUGUCACUAUCAUAGCAAUGAGAGUGGGACUUCAGCUUGUAUAAUGACUUCAGGAGAGAGAAUACAGAAUUAUUCAAGGAGGGAUUUCUCAGAAAACACCAAACAUAUCAAGUAGGUUUUAAUGGUGUUCUUGACAAAGUUGGUCUGCAGAUUUCACAGAUAAUUCCUUCUUCUUAUGUCCAUGAUAAUUAUUUGCUCUGCAUUUCUGUAGUCAAGAGUUUGUUGUCUUGAACAAAUCUAACGUAGUGGUUUCUAUCCUCACUGACAUUGGUGUCACUUUAAUUCUGUGAUGUUGUACUAGGUUCACACCCACAAAAAAAGGUACAAUUUGACUCCAUGUCCCCAGAAAGGAUAUGAAAAUGUGGAGGUUAACUCAUGCAUUGAAGUCUAACAUCUCCUCUGUAGUCACCUUCAUACUGCCAAGUUUUUGAAAAGGACAGAUCAGCUUUUGCUCUGAAGGACAUUUGUUUUUCCAACAUACCUUUUAGUUCCAUUUGUAGAUUUUAUAGAUUUACCUGCAACAACUUACUUUCUUGACUGGGCUGUCUUUGAAGCUAAGCCAAAGUGUGUGGGUUACUACCUGUCGUGUGUAGGUUUCUACCUGUCAAAUCUAUUUAUUGGAAGCUAAAGGGUGUCACGGAAUGCUUUGUGUCUCACAAAUAGAAGAUGUAAUCCCACAGAGGUUUGUACAGUUUCUUCUCAAAGACUGGUGGUUUAAGAGGUGUAGAGAUGGGGAUUUUCUCUAUCACUGCAACCAGUGUAGAUACAGACCAUGGUCACCUACUCUGGGAGCUCUCUCUCUCUCUUUCUCUCUCUUUACUACCUAGACAAUUUAGCAGAUGCUGGACCCAAGGCAACAACUGGGCACCAGUUCCAUCUGAGUAUCAGGCAAGUCUCCUUACCGAACUGGAGUGCCCAGCUUCCAGCAUGGCAAUGGUGAUGUAGGCAGAAAGAGACAGCUCGUCAUCUACUCCUCCCUGAAAACAACAUGGAGAGAGGAAUAAUCUGUCAAUGCCACAGAUGAAAGCCUUAGAAUAUCAAUUGUCAUGUCCCAGCUGAGACAGUAUGGACAGUUCUGGAGGCAGCCCAAAGGGAAAGAAAGCAUUCACAUAGCUCUUGAAUAGCUCACAAAUCCAGAGAAGCCCUUUGCCAUUAAAUCCAAAAACAUCACUCCUUCAAGCUUACAGUCCUGUAAUCCUAUCUCAGGUGCACAUAAAUGUAAAGUAGGUGGACAAAAUCUGACUGAGCUGAAACUACUCAUUAUAAGAUGUGGAGAAUUAGCCCUUGGAAGAAGGCAGGCAUUUGGAGCAAAAUACAGUUUUUCGCAGUAAUUGGAGAACAUAUUCGUAGUGAAAAAGUAUAAAUUUGACCAAGUAAUGAUUCUCUCCCACCUUCAAGGCAUUGUUGAAGAGUGUCCCAACACUCUGGAAACAGCCAUCUAGUUUCUGUUUGCUGGACAGCCACAUCAGGGUUUGAGACUGGACACGCUCAUCAAUGUAGAUGAAGUGACCAGCUUGUGCAAAUGAUCUGUACACAAAGGCAGUGAGCCUGCAAGGGAAAGAUGGAGCUGUGAGAUGAGCACUGGAAGAAACAGAAGAAAUCAGCCCUCCCGUUCGUGCUGCUGAAGAGCAUGAAGAGUUACAGCCAGCGUGUUGGUGGCUUGCUUUCUCUUUGUGUGCUCCUCAGAGAGAGAACAGCUAAAGGAGUAGUAACUAGAUGGGAUACGGAGAGGAUGUCCAGCACGCUCUGUGGCUGGUCCUGUCUGCAGAGCACUACAGUGCAAUGGCUUUCAUUUGAGACAGCAGAAGUAUGAAUCAGAAAGUCAGCUGGGUCUUUAGGGAUCAACUUCUUUUCAUGCACCCAGCCUGGCAGAGGAUGGAGAAACAUUUCCUUUAGUACUUCUCAAAGCCCAAUCCUAGACAGCUCUGUACAUCUGAUUCAGCCAGUAAAGUUGCCUCUUACAUGCACCAUAAUAAUUGAAUGUAAUUAAUCUCUGAGCCAAUUCUCAGUCACUCACCAGGUGUUCCCUUCCCUGUCUCUGGUGCCAAAGAUGCUAUAGGACCCAUCAGGACGUUUGUAUAACAGCUGCUUCUGGUAGCCUGCAAGAACAUGGAAAAGGAGGUGUUCUUGGAUGUAAAAGCACAACCCUAUUUUGUUUGCUGACUUAUUGUCUGGGAAAGAAUGGAAAGGCAAUGUAUAUAUAACAAGCAGGAGGGGAGCUCUGAGAGAUCCUAUGAAUGGAAGUAUGGAACAUCUUGUCUGGCAGAAACACUGAGAGAAUAGGCAGAGCUCUAUCAGCUCUGUGCUCCAACUAAACGUACAGGAUCAGGAUACAUGCUGUGCCUGAGUGGGAAAAGAGAAGGGGACUGGAAGACAAAACCUCAAAAGAAACGUGGCAGUUGAAUGUCAGCAAAAAGGCAUAAGAUAAGAAGAUAAAGGAAAAUAAAAAAAUGUCUUGUUCAGGGCAAAUCCUUGGGUCUCUGGGCUGUGCUACAUCUGUGAUGCCAUCUGCCAGGGUAGCCAUGCUGUUGUUGCUGCUUCUGUUGUUCUGGACCUCAACAGGAAUUUCAGCACACAUUGUAAGGGAACCACGAAGCUCUCACCGCUCACUAAGUAUCCAGUGGCCCUGGAUUUGACCUCCCUGCUCAGCUGCCCUGUUUUGUUCAGAUAGUCCAGGACGUAGAUGUUGGGUGCAAAGAGGGCCAUGUUCUGCUCUCCACAGCCAAAGGGCAUCUGGAGGAGCUGGUGCAGGUUCUGCAUGGCAGUGCCCAUGAUGUCACCUGGGGAAGAGGAGAUGAGAGUGGGGGGAUCAGCACAACUCGUGGCCACUGAAAUUACCAGUAAUUUCCAUCUCACAGCCAGAGUAAUAAAAGCCUAGCAGGGGUUGGGAACCUUCUGAACAGAACUUUGUUCUGCUUUGCCUCCAACAAAGAAUCCUUUCCCUGCCUCUCCUUACAUAGUCUAAAUUGCCCUUACCAGAAACACUCCUUGUUUAGCUGACACUUCAAGCAAAUACUUCUUGUUGGAAAUGAAAGGAACUUACAGGAAACUUCUGUUUCCAGAGGAUGGAAGGGAAUAGCCAGAGCUAUUUAUUGCAAACAUUUAUUGCAAAAUUAACAGCUAAUGCUGCAAAGGGACGUUGAUAAUGCAGAUGUAUCACAGCCCACCUCUUAGUUGUUAUUUCUAGGAAAGGUACCACAGACCUAGCAAGGAAUUUCUGGAAAGAGCUUCUAAAAGUCACCAAGCAAGAAUUUUAUGGCUGGCUGCAAGAAGAUGGAAAGAAGACACACACAGUGGAUGAGACAAAAGCAUGCAGGAGAAAUUCAGUGUCAAAAUGCCACCCCUUUCCCCAACCUUCUACAUCACAAAACAGGUGGAUUGAAGCAACAGUUUACAAGACCAUGUAUGAUGUGACAGCUUCUAAAAGGGAGAUCUCAUCAGAUGGAGUCCCUCAUUUCCAGUUUCUCCUCUGCACAAGGGAGACAUGUCUGAUCCUCAUGGAAGAGGAUAUCUCAUGGGAGUGGACUUGGUCUUAGAUUGAACAUCCUGACCCUAUCCCAGCCAAAAAGGUCGAGCCAUACCAGGAUUUCUUUAGCAACAGCUGGAAGAAAAACAAGUGGAGGGCUCAAAAGAUGUAUGUUCUCACUGCAAAGAAAAUAAAGUCCCCUGACUUCACAGUGUAACAUGAAAACUUGUCAAAACCAAGCCAUUUGACCAAUAAACAACCCAUAUUGCACACCUUAGUGGCAUGAAAUUCCAAAUGGCUAUUUUGAUGCUGACCAACACCACAGAGGGAAGCAUUGUCUUAUGCCAGGUGUUGAUCUAAUCACCUCUCCCCACUAUCCUGGCCUGUCACCAGUAAUGAAACAGCAGCAGUAAUAGCUUCUGUCACCUGGGAGGAAGGGAUGAAUAAAAUAAUGGAGAUGGUGGGAUGACAGUCUCCUGACAUCCUGAAGAUGACUCCCUAGGCUCCACAGCAAAUAACUUAAUAGUUUUAACAAGAACUCUGAAUAAACUGUCUAGCAUGUAGCUCAGCCUGAAAAACACCAGACAGAGAAAUUCUGCCUGAAGAAAUUGCCUCCUAAGGUCAUGUUAUGGACAAAGUGGACAUUCACCAGUCUGUCCUGGUUUGUAGAUGGGUUUGUCUGUCUGCACGAAGACGAUGCUGUCUGUGUCCCAGAUCAUCACUGACCGCCGCUCCUUUAGGCUGAUGGUGCUGCCCUUGGCAGAGAAGGAAAUGAAAGCCAGGGGUACAGAGUGGACAGGAGGAAUCUGUGAAGAAAGAAGAAACAUGGGGAGGUUGUUAGUCUUGAAGUCAUUUGCUCCAGAACCUGUUGAACAGCAAUGCCUGUGGCCUGGGCUCCUGCAAUGAGACACAAGCUCACUUCAACCAGCUUCAUCACCUUUCUUGCGCUUUUUCUUAUUAGUUGCAUCUGCAAAAAAAGCCUCCUUUUCUGUUACUAUGUUGCUCUUCUAUGCUUCCUUUUUCCUUUAACAAGUCUUAUUUCUUUCCCUGUUUGUUCCUUGCCAUGCUCUCUAACUUUCUUUUCCCUGUUUACAAUCCUUUUCCAUGGGGACAUAAAUUAAAAUUAACUUACCUUGAAGUCAAAGCAUUGUAGACCACUGCUUGCUGUCAUGGUUUUCUUAAAAAUAGUGGUAUUAACAGAGCUGUAUUCUAGGAUUACUCUGACAGAUACUGUCUCGUUGAGGUUAUGGAACUGCAGGCAAACCUGACCUGGAGAGUCAUUUUGGAGGACAGCAGGCACCAUCAGGACAUACUGCCUAUGGAAUUCCAACAUCAAAGUGAUCACAUUCAUAUGUAAAGGAGAAACAGCCUCAACAGGACAAACACAUAACACUGUUAUUAUUAAGUACCCACCAAUUACUUUAGAUUAUAUAGGACACACUGCCAGUGCUCCUCACUCCAUUCUGCAGCUCUGAACUAGCUUAGAGCUGCUAUUGCCCCUAGCUCUUGCCCUUUUGCUCUUUAUCUGAGCCCUGGGCCCAGAUAAAACCACCUGGUUUUAGCAAAGCACCCUGCUGUCACUACUGCUAUUGCCUUAUCUGGACACACAUCAAUUUCCUUGGAAGUUCUGCAAUAGGUAGAAGGUCUGAUCAUAUUAAAUGAGAAUUGUUCACUUGCCAUCCCCAUUCUGCUUUAGCUCUCCAGAUAUAAAAGAUGAGCCCUGGCAGUAUUUAAAUUUUAGAGAAAAAUCAAUAACACUGACUAGCACUGUCUUUAAAGCCUUUUCACAAAUACUAAUAAUAGUAAGAGGGUAGUUCUUACGGCUCAGGUUCCUUUGCAGCUGCUACAUGCCAGAGAAGAAUAGCCAAAAGAAACUUCAGCCACAUUUUUCUCACUGGGACACAGAAGAAAGAGAUAAGUUCUCUUCCCAUGAAACAAUUCCUUGCCUACUAGUUUAACAGCUCUGCAGCAUUCCUCACCCAGUUCUCCAGAGGAAAGGAGUUUGCUGUUCAACUCCUCCCUGGCUCCUUCCUUUGAUGUUGGUGCCUUUAUAACUGCAGCAAGGGGUGGAGAUCCCAGUCUAUCCCACUCCUUGCAAGAACCUCCCCUAACACUACUGCAACCAAAAUCAACCCACCAUCUGCAACAUUUCACUGCACUUCUCUGAAUGUCUGCACAAAAUACCUUCAGUGGUGUUGUUUCGAGGAAGGGGGCUUUGGGUUUUACACUGAGACUUGUCACACUACUGAAAAGCACAAAGUGAUCUAAACCCAAGUAAGUCUGUCAAACCAGAUUAACAUCUGAGCGUUUUCCCCAUUGUUCUUGGAAUUUACCAACUGGAUUAACAGUGUGGGUGAAGUAGACCAAUUUUCUGCAUUUUGUCACCAGAUUCUGACUAAUAUUGACCUCUCUUUUCCCUUGCUUCAUUGGUGUUUUGAAAAUUGACAAAAUGGAAAAAUAGAGAAGCUAGAAACAGAAAGAGCUCUAAAAAGUCUUAAUUGCUUCUACCUUAGCCAUUGAGCACUUGACAGUGCUGUUGAAGUUUGAUUCAUUUCAGCUUGGAAUUAGCCAGUCGCUGGGUCUAUGGGAAUUUGUUAGCUCCCCAGGUUUCCAGUUUUCACACCUGUGUGGAAGCUAAUAGAGUUUUUUAUUAGGGAGAAGGAAUUUCUUUUGUUCUCUUGUACUCUGAAGAGAAAACAAAGCACUCAGGUGGGCUGCUCCCUACAAGAAAAACAGUGCUGGAAAGCAGUUAUUUGAUAACUGUAAAUAAUUUUUUCCAUUAAUUUUGGCACUGGGCACUGGGUCGGUCUGGCAUGAGGUCAUGAAGUCAGCUUUCUGCACAGUAGUCUGCUGUGCUGUGCAUUUGAGGCUAGAACAGUGCUCAUAACUCACCAGUGUUUUGGCUCUUGCUGAAGAGUGCUAGCAGAGUGUCAGGGCUUUCUACCUCCCCCACCUCCCAGCCAAAAGCCAGGAAGCUUGGGGUGAGUAAAAGACUGUGAGGGGCUACAGCCAGGACAGAUGACCCAAAUAGGUCAAAGGAAUGUCCUGUACUGCCACAGGACACCAUGCUUAGCAAUAACAGGUGGGGGAAAGGAGGAGGAGGGACAACAUUAGUGAUAACAGCAUUUGUCUUCCAAAGCAACCACUACCUUACUGAGGCCUCACUUCUCAGGGAGUGGCUGGACAUCUGCCUGCCAAUGGGAAGCAGUGAAUAAAUCCCUCUUUUAGCUUCUGCUUUCCUUUUUAAACUCUUAUUUCAACUCACUAGUCUUUGACAUUCUUCCUGGAAAAUGGGAAUAAGUGAAAGAUUGGCUGACUGCUUGGCUGCCAGAGAGAUAUGGGUCCAAGGGCAGAGUACCUGUAUGAGAGCACAAUUUUCUCUAAUAUCCUGAUGUGCUCUAUGACUGUCUAUUCUUGUUUCUUGCUAGUCUGUGAAACUUUCUCCAAUAGAAACAUGGGGCACAUAGGGUGGCUGUAAAAUGUUUUCACUCAUGCCCUUAAAUUUUUCACAGAAGUAUCAAACCAUAUGGAAAUGGAACACAGCAGAAGUAGCAGAUGGUUCCCCAGAGGUCUCUCUGAGUCAUGGUGUAGGUGCUUAGAACACAGACAACAGACUGAGGUUCUGUUCUGAAAGCCCACUUCAUUGUCAUUUCUGUUGCAGAGGAUCUCUACAGAUUCUGCAGUUAAGGAGCUUCCCAAAUGAUCAGGCUUUAUUUUCUCUGCAAUGGGAUAUCCCUACCAGGAGCUGCAAGAUCAGAAAUUCACUGACAAGGGCUCGAACUUGAGUGGACAUUGUGGAAAAAGGAGAUGACCAGUGUUGCAGGCUCUUGCUUUUCUUGGCUUUCUCAGGUAGUUAUAAAUUUAUUGCGAUGUAAUGAAGUAUUAAUUCCAAACAAGUCAAUUUGAUAAUCAUCACAAUCCAGAAGCUUUCUGAGUCUACUUUUGAACAUUUCAUCAGAGAGUGUAAUGGUUUAGGUGACAUUCAAAGGUGUAAGAGGUAGAGAAGGGUAGUUGUGUAUAACUUACUGUUAUAACAAGCAGGCAUUUUUGCCCCAAAUCUAGGCUGGAUUGUGGCUUUGGUCAGAAAGUGCACUGUUGUGUCUCCAGGAACUGGCACUAAUCACAAUGUCUUUGUGCAAAGGUACCUUCUGUACAGUAACCAAAUGAAGGAAAAAGAUUCCUCAUGUAUCCUAUAUCCAAAUAAUUCACUGCACUAGUUUAAACCCUCCACUAAUCACAAUGAAGGAGGUGCAUCUGGUAAGGAAAUAAACAAACAAAAAAUGCAAUGAUCUAUUGAAUUAAUAGGUUUGCAACCAAACAAGUUCUCUGGGUGAAAAAGGCCCCUCUAACUUUAUCAUAACAAAGGAAAACAGAGGUCAUCUCAUCUUCUUGGCUAUAACAUAUAAUAACUUGUCUUUCACAGGAGAAUCAAACAACAUUCCACUGCAUACAACAAAAAAAGUUGUUUUCAGGGCAAAUAUUUAUGAAACCAUUGACAUUUGUUUUUAAUUAUUUUUUAUUCUUAUUAUUUGCUGACUACAUGUCUUUGCUUUUCAAAUCCUACCCAUUCUUUUUAACUCAGCUGCAUAUGCUCAAGAAGCUUCUGAAGAUUGCUCUGUGGGGAAGUUAGAGAGAUGAUACUUAAUCAUCAGAUCUGUAUUUCAUAGAAUCAUGGAAUGGUUUGGGUUGGAAGGGACCUUAAAGAUCAUCCACUUCCAACCCCUCUGCCAUGGGCAGGGACACCUUCCACCAGACCAGGUAGCUCAGAGUCCUAUCCAGCCUGGUCUUGAACACUUCCAGGGAUGGAGCAUCUGCAGCUUCUCUGGGCAACCUGUGCCAGUGUCUCCCCAGGUUCACAGUAAGAAAUUUCUUGCUAAUAUCUAAUCUAAACCUGUUCUCUUUCGGUUUGAAUGCAUUCCUCCUGUCUUGUCACUCUAUGGGCUUUUAAGCAGUCUCUCUCCACAUUUCUUGUAGCUUCAGGUACUGUAAGAGUUUCUUGGUUUUGGGCAAUGUUGGAGAAAUGUCUGUAUACAGACAGAUUAUCUUGCAUUCUUGACUCAAAAGGAGGUUUUUGCCAGCUAACUUUGAAUGUUACCUGAGCCAUAACUUCAGACUUCAGAUACUUUUGCUUAGCUGUAGCACACACUAAGAGAGAUCUGUGCAUUUGUAGAUGGAGAGCAAUGAGAGGGAACCUUGGCAACAAUGGAAUCAGCUAUUUGAUUCAGUUAAAUUUGAUUUAGUUCUCUUUUUUAAAAAAUGUCCCACCAGCUUAAUACAGAUAUCAUUCUGCCACUGAAAUGGUCCUGCUGCAGCCAUAGUUCAACACCAAAAACUGUGCCUUUAUGGUUGUGGUUUGGUUUAUUUGAGGCACUAGAUAUGUUCAAACAGUACAAGAUUAUCUUUACAAAUAAAAUCUGUCUUGCUGUGAAAAACUACAUUAAUACUACUUGACUGCAACUAAUUAUUUCAUAUUGGGCUGCUCAGUCACAGUAGUUUCUGUGUCUUUCUGUGUGGUUUCUUGAUCUCAAAUUUCACUCACUAUUACUGAAAAGAGCUGUAUUUCUUUCCUGUGGGAAUCAUCAAAUGGCUUUAGGAGAAUUACAAGAGUCUCUGGAGCAACAUGGUUUUUCCUGUUUUUGAUGCAUUUGUGGCUGCUAGCAUUUCAUAUAAUUCUAGUACUCCUUCUCAUUCAUGCAGUCUAAAGCCAGCUUGGAUGUGUCUGCAAGAUCUGAAUCCAUAUAUUUGUGGUGUGGGCACUCUCAACUUUCUUGUGAACGGGUUAAUUGCUGCAUUCAGAAUAAGAUCAGUGCAAAGAAACUUGGUCAUUACAGCUACAAAAAUUAGUUAUAAAGCACUGAGCCAAUCUGUGAUUUUGGCUAUGACUGCUUCCUGUAACACUGCCUUUUAGAAAAUUAGAUUGUAACAAUUUGUUUAGACAUGGUAAAGGUCGAAAUGCUUGGUUUGGCCCAGGUGUUUGGGGAACAAUGCUGAAACAUGGUAACUAUAGAUAAAGUUCCGCUUGGUCAAUAGGGUCUCUAGUCAAGCAUGCAAGAUUUCUUCCAUUGUUCUAAGAUGUGUGAGCCUUGGCAAAGUCCUUUAGUAGCUGAAAGGCUGGUGAGGUCAUAAAAGAAAAUACAUCUGUCCCUAGUGGAAUAGUCACAGCUUGCAGUGAUUUUGAUGAGUGAUGGAAUUUUUUUCAACAAAAUGUGGUGGUAGGGAGGACUGCAGUUUAUUUCAGUGGUCUAUGAUGCCUGGAAAAGGCAGCCACGCAAAAGACGAAGGUAGUUGAAGGUCAGCCAGUUGCAAGGCUUCAGUGACUGUGGAGCGUGGAUGGGUCAUCCAUAACCUGUUUUCAAAACUGAGACCUUUCUCCACAUAUGCGUGGAGGCUGAGGUCUGAGCAGGAAUGACUGUGAGCUGAAGUAUUAAGCCUUUGUUGUGCAGUUUUGGUGAAAAAUGCCAGUGAAAGGAGAGUGAAGCUGGAAUCUGACUGCUGUCACUGCACCUGCACAAGCCUCAGAGUGGAUACUAGUGGAUAUAGAAAUGAAAUUAUCUUCCUAGUUGUACACAGAUCACCUGACAGCUUUCAGGCUAAACUAUGAAUGCUGUGCUAUAGUCAGGCUAAUAAGAGUCUGCAUUUCUUUUGGGUGUGCUUUGCAUUUUUUCUGUCCUUGCAUGGAUAGGAACUAGAGUUUUUCAGCCCUCCUUUCUUUGUGGUUUUUCUAGGCAGCAUCAAGUGUUCAGUUCAAAUGUGAACAGGUCACAAAUAAAAUAUCUCAAUAAGCCCCUCAAAAAUUUUCUGGUACUCAGUAAGUUAAUUCUUCACACUUGCAGAUAUAAAUCAGGCUUUUAUUAAAGGAGGAAAAGAAAAUACUUAACAAUGAGUAUCAGGUGGGGAACAUUUGACAUGUAAUCCAUAAAAUGUAACUAGUCAAGGUGGGACAACUACUCUGGCUUCAUGUUCCCCCCUAAACUUCCCGUGCCAGCAAUCAGCUCAUGAGUGGUACUGAGAAAUCAUCUUGUGUACCAAGGGCUGAUGCAAGCUGCACAUGAUGUUGUCAUGUAUUGGCUUUUCUGGCUACCAGAAAGGUGCCUGAGACCAGCCAUCUCUAGCAUGCUGAGGAAAGCCCAAAUAAUUCUCUGACCUUUUCAGCUCUGAUCAAACCCCUAACCCUUUGUUUCUAUUUCACAGCUGUGCACAGCUAUCCUCUCUGUAGCUGCAACUUCUGCACUCUGAAGCUAGAAGCAUUUGCUUUCAUCUCAGGUGACAACUUGUGACAGGCAUAUGUAGAAAGAUGUAGCUCUCUGAGGCUUUCAUAUUACAAUGGCUUUUCUGUGCUUUAUGGAAAGCCUGUUUUUUAUUUUCAUUCUGCAGAAAUGACUCAUGAACGCAUUGCAGUGACAGACUUGUAACUGUUUGAGGCUACAUUAGUCCCACUUAUUUUCUUCUCCUUCCCUCCAUCAGUUUAGAGUGGAACAGCCUUCCCUGGCUGGUUGCCCUUCUUCUCUGGAUUGACUUGAGGUCAUACAGUUCUGCUUUCCCUUAGGAAUUCAGCCAUCAGUCUACAGAUCCUACAGGAGUUUUACUGAGGUAAUCAUACCCCUAAAGCAUUUUCCUGCAGUUUCGGGCACUGUUGACAUAAGAGACUUGAAUGAUCUGUCUGAACUGCAGGUUGGUCUGUGAGAGGAGCACUACAGAGGAGCAGUGUUUUACAUGUGCCUUCGGAUGCAGUUUUAUGUGCCAAAGGAAAUUUCAUAUUUUUUUGGGAAAUGCUAUAUGUCUAAUCCAAGUGCUCUAAGAAGGGAAGUGUUGAUCUCAUUUUAAGCUGUAAAAUUAUUUUAUCAGAGUUCAUAGGAGAUGAGUGCACAACAUAAGAUCUACAUCUUUUAGAGCAGGGACUACCUCUUCUCAUUUCUUUGAAGUCUGUCUUCAGUGUAGGCGUGAUGCUGCUAGGGAAAGAGAGCUUGGGGUUGGGAGUGUCUCACAACUGGCUGAUAACACUAAAUGUUGGAGGCUCAGUCUCUUUUGAGUACUUUGAUCUUUUUUGCCAUUGACCAACAUCUUGCUUCUAAAUCCAUUUUUUUCUUGUUACAAAGAAUUUUUCUUUCCACUACGACAUCCCAGAAAUUGAACUUGCUCCAGACACAUUAUGGAAGGCGUGCAAAUGCUAUUCAGAGCCUGCAGCUUUCUCUCCCUUUAUCUGUUAUUAUUAUCUACUUGGCAGCAAAACAAUACCCUUGUGUUACCUGAUAUAUUAAUUGCACUACUUUAAGGACGCCCCCCAGGGAGAGCCUGUUUGUGCCUUCAACCCCUGACCUUAUGCCUGAAAAGUUUUUUGAUUCAUUCCCCUCACAUAAAGGCUAUUUUUCCUUUGUCUCCAGUGAAAAUAUAUUCUGCAGCUAUAUAUUGAAUUGCUAAGCACUGUACUGAACAAGCUGGAGGAUGUGUCCUUGAUGAAGAUUGUCAGUCUUUUUUAACUUUUAUUAUCUUCCUAAACAGUGGAGGUUUCCAGGUUGUCUCAGGGCAAACAAGCUGACCUCAGGCAAACAGGGAAUAAGAGAAAGUCCUGUUGUCCUCUUUUGAAGAACUAGGUUUUUUUAUUGUUAUUGACCCAUAAAUGACCAGCACUAGGCAAAACUGUCUGCUGGAGAGCACUGUGUGGAAAAGAGGGAGUGACUGGUGCAUCACAUCCAUGCCUAGUGUCACUCAUAGUUGCUCAUAGCACGAGUACUUUGCUGUUACACAAAACUGUCAGAGUCCUGGCAGCUUAUAACUCUGGGAAAAAUUUCCAGAGCCUAUCCUGGCACAUUCCCAUGGGCUACAGCAGACGGGCCCUAUAGAAACUGCACCUUUUUACACACUGAAAGUCCAAGGGAAGACUGAUUCAUGGUAAUUUCAGAGUUCUAGAACAUCUUUCUAACUAUAGCAAUCAAAGAAAACUGAGUGUAAAAGUAUUUACCAUUUUUGGAGAUGGGUUGUGGCCCUUACCAUUGAUUCACAUGGUCCUACAAGGUCAGUGUCUAAAGCUCCUUUCAAUUGUUACAUCUUUUCAUCUGCUUCGUACUGAGGUUAAACAAACUGAGUUUGUGAAGCAGCAGCAUCACAUGAUGCAAGCUCCAUGAGAAAAAAAAAUUGGGUCACAAGUUUGCACUGGAGUUAAAAGUGUUAAAGAGGUAAAAGAAGGCUGUAAAAUGCAGAUUUUGCAAGGUACUGCUGUCAUUGUCCCAUCCACUCCCUCUCAGCCUAGUGUUUUGGAAAUUUGUAGUAAAAUUUAAAUGCUGUGCUUUUGAAAGCAUCUGCAUUUCAUAUCAGUUUCCAUCUGACCAGGCUUGCAGUUGGCCAUUCACUGGAAUGGCAUUAAACAAAGGCUUUUGUUUAGCAGCAGGCUGAGUUUACACAGCUGAGGAAGGUGGAUUGAAGUUGCCUGACUGACCCCUCUUGAAGCUCACACAAUCUUUUUUGCUGACAGGGAUGAGAGAGCAAGGGGGAGUUUGGGGUCAGUUGGCCCCUUAACAUCUUCAGAGUCAUAACUUACUUCUCAGCAUGUGUCUGUCUGUAGCAAAAGUCACCACAGGUCUCAUGCAAACAUGAAAACAUUGCUUUCAGUGUGACUUUUUGGGUCAAGGGUUGUGCCCAGGGGUUGCUUCUGAUGGGAAGAGAAAUGCUGGGGAUAGAAACUCAAUGUUUUGAGCAGAAUUGAAAGAAUUGAAAGCCACUCACCUUACAAUAUCUUUUUUCUCAAAAUGUCAUUAUUUUUUUCACAAGGUAAACAUUUCACCAGAACUGCAGGGAAGAAACUAUUCUUGUUUCUCAGUAAACCAAGCUUAUAUGCAACUUAAAAAAAAUAAAAGAAAAAAGAAAAAAAGAAGAAAAAAAAUAAAAAAAAAGUUGAGAGCUUCAUUCCUAUAUUUCUGUACAUCCUAAGGAGAAAUAUGGGAGGUACAUGUUGUUUUAUGCAUUGAAGUGCCCCUUCAGGCUCACCUGCAUGCACAGUGCUACCACAUCAAAAAACUGCUCUGUGCUUGCUGCUUUCACAUGCUAGGUGGUAUUUAGACAGCUGAGAGAAUCAGGGCCAGGUUCUCAAGGGUGUUAAGUCACUUAGCUCACAUCAGCCAGAACCUAAAUUCACAAAGAGCCUUAGGUUCCUAUGUCAAAUUCCUCAUAAGUUUAGAGCAACUCUCUAGCUGCUUCCCAAGGUUUCCCAGGUACUGGUGUUGCUGAA